AGCGCAGGCGGGAAACUAAGCGGAUCUUAAAAAGUGCGGGGCUCAACCCCGUGAUGGGGUCCGAACUGGUUUUCUUGAGUGCAGGAGAGGAAAGCGGAAUUCCCAGUGUAGCGGUGAAAUGCGUAGAUAUUGGGAAGAACACCAGUGGCGAAGGCGGCUUUCUGGACUGUAACUGACACUGAGGCACGAAAGCGUGGGGAGCAAACA
This 207-nucleotide ribosomal RNA is filed under the name uncultured bacterium. RNAcentral's name for it is "partial 16S ribosomal RNA". It matches the Rfam family "Bacterial small subunit ribosomal RNA", at positions 568 to 774 of the family's 1533-position model. The record is from RNAcentral.